GUAGAAUGUAGCUUAGUGGUAGUGCUUGCCUCGUAUGUGUGAGGCCCUGGGUUCAAUCCCCAGCACCUACU
Molecule: transfer RNA, 71 nt
Filed under: Marmota monax (woodchuck)
Lineage: Eukaryota; Metazoa; Chordata; Mammalia; Rodentia; Sciuridae
Description: tRNA.Thr
Source: RNAcentral